CGGCCUGCCACUAUAUUGGCUUUAUCGAUUAUUUUUUCCAGGUCGAUGAGCCACUAUAGUGGCUCACACGGAGACAGAUAGCGCGCAUCAUCUCUUCUGCAGCAGAAGAUAAAACAGUUGCAGAAGAGUAAUCAAAGCAGACAAAUAUUUAGAUAAA
RNAcentral lists this long non-coding RNA (157 nucleotides) under Polistes fuscatus (common paper wasp). RNAcentral describes it as "uncharacterized LOC122517637". The record is from RNAcentral. Lineage: Eukaryota; Metazoa; Arthropoda; Insecta; Hymenoptera; Vespidae.